AUCUAUGGCCAUACCACCCUGAAUGUGCAAAAUCUCAUCUGAUUUCCAAAGCUAUGCAAGGUUGGAUCUGGUUAGUACUUGGAUGGGAGACUGUUUUGGAAUACCUGUUGCUGGAGUAG
Molecule: ribosomal RNA, 119 nt
Filed under: Notamacropus eugenii (tammar wallaby)
Lineage: Eukaryota; Metazoa; Chordata; Mammalia; Diprotodontia; Macropodidae
Source: RNAcentral